CGAAACUCGGUUGCUUUUAACUUGUCUAAUAUAUACACAGUCCAUCGUUGGUAAUCGGGGAGAGAACAAAAUCGGCUUCGUUAAUCUAAAAGCUCUAGAGAGUUCUCAGGCUUGACGAUCUGUAACCAUGGCGGCAGAGCAGAAGGCGACGACUGAAGAAGUAAAGAUGGAUCUGUUCGAGGACGACGAUGAGUUCGAGGAGUUUGAAAUUAACGAAGAUUGGGUUGAGAAAGAGGAAGUGAAGGAAGUUGGUCAGCAGUGGGAAGAUGACUGGGACGAUGAUGAUGUUAAUGACGACUUCUCGCUUCAGUUGAGGAAGGAACUUGAGUCUGAUAAGAAAUGAAUGAGCAGCUCUCAAGAUUAAGAUUGUUAUUUGAAUUGCAUCCUUUGUUUUUAUUGUUGCUUCUACUUUACCUCUUUGCACAUUUUUACUCUUGGAUGCGAAUUCCCUAUAGAUGUUUUGUGUUUUACGUGGCAUCGUUAUGGAUUCUCGGUUUUACUCUUUCCAUUACUGACAUGACAUUUUGGUUU
RNA transcript from Brassica rapa (field mustard), 531 nucleotides. It is a transcript of the gene named protein DELETION OF SUV3 SUPPRESSOR 1(I), with no coding region annotated. The record is from RefSeq and is a predicted model, not a curated record. Lineage: Eukaryota; Viridiplantae; Streptophyta; Magnoliopsida; Brassicales; Brassicaceae.